AACUGAUACUACCUGCGGGAACCUGCGGAGGGAUCAUUAUUGAAUAACUUGACAGGUUGUAGCUGGCUUUUAGGAGCAUGUGCACACCUGUUUUGAUUAUAUUUAUCCACCUGUGCACUUUCAGUAGGCUUUUUGGGGCUGAGACUGGGUUAAAUUGUCAGUUGAAAGACUGGAUGAGAGGAAUUGUAUGCACUGUGUAGUGUUGCUUUCUUCAGUAAUUAACCUUUAAUCAUCUCCCCU
Molecule: unclassified non-coding RNA, 240 nt
Filed under: soil metagenome
Description: partial contains 5.8S ribosomal RNA, internal transcribed spacer 2, and large subunit ribosomal RNA
Source: RNAcentral